RNAcentral lists this long non-coding RNA (248 nucleotides) under Gossypium barbadense (sea-island cotton). RNAcentral describes it as "long non-coding RNA (GBAR_LNC000844)". Lineage: Eukaryota; Viridiplantae; Streptophyta; Magnoliopsida; Malvales; Malvaceae. The record is from RNAcentral.
AUCAGUAUUCAGUAGUCAUGUUCUGAAAACAAUAAAUUAGAACUCAUUGCCAAAACAGAGUAUUUGGGUCAUAUUUUCACAAGCCUUUUUAAAAUUAUUAUUAAUUUUAUGAUUAUGAUUAUAUAUGUUAUAUGUUGUAUACAUUCAAUUAUCAGAGAAUUGCUUUUGUAAUUUAAUAUGUAGAGUAUGGUAUUCGGUUUGCCAUUUGCCAAGACAACUGUUGCCAUCAUUUUUGUUACUUUUUUUUU